AACGAACGCUGGCGGCAGGCUUAACACAUGCAAGUCGAGCGCUGUAGCAAUACAGAGCGGCGCACGGGUGAGUAACACGUGGGAAUAUGCCCUAUGGUUCGGAAUAACUCAGGGAAACUUGAGCUAAUACCGGAUAAGCCCUUACGGGGAAAGAUUUAUCGCCAUUGGAGUAGCCCGCGUCCGAUUAGCUAGUUGGUGGGUAAAGCCACCAAGGCGACGAUCGGUAGCUGGCUGAGAGGACGACCAGCCACACUGGGACUGAGACACGGCCCAGACACCUACGGGUGGCAGCAGUCGAGAAUUUUUCUUC
This 310-nucleotide ribosomal RNA is filed under the name uncultured bacterium. RNAcentral's name for it is "bacterial SSU rRNA". It matches the Rfam family "Bacterial small subunit ribosomal RNA", at positions 29 to 370 of the family's 1533-position model. The record is from RNAcentral.